RNAcentral lists this ribosomal RNA (354 nucleotides) under Bacillus stratosphericus. RNAcentral's name for it is "bacterial SSU rRNA". It matches the Rfam family "Bacterial small subunit ribosomal RNA", at positions 49 to 392 of the family's 1533-position model. Lineage: Bacteria; Bacillati; Bacillota; Bacilli; Caryophanales; Bacillaceae. The record is from RNAcentral.
CUAUACAUGCAGUCGAGCGGACAGAAGGGAGCUUGCGUCCCGGAUGUUAGCGGCGGACGGGUGAGUAACACGUGGGUAACCUGCCUGUAAGACUGGGAUAACUCCGGGAAACCGGAGCUAAUACCGGAUAGUUCCUUGAACCGCAUGGUUCAAGGAUGAAAGACGGUUUCGGCUGUCACUUACAGAUGGACCCGCGGCGCAUUAGCUAGUUGGUGAGGUAACGGCUCACCAAGGCGACGAUGCGUAGCCGACCUGAGAGGGUGAUCGGCCACACUGGGACUGAGACACGGCCCAGACUCCUACGGGAGGCAGCAGUAGGGAAUCUUCCGCAAUGGACGAAAGUCUGACGGAGCA